Long non-coding RNA from Oncorhynchus keta (chum salmon), 339 nucleotides. RefSeq lists it as uncharacterized. NCBI's taxonomy places the organism in Eukaryota, Metazoa, Chordata, Actinopteri, Salmoniformes, Salmonidae. The record is from RefSeq and is a predicted model, not a curated record. The transcript has 4 exons.
UAGAUGUGGUAGGUGUGGUAGGUGUGGUAGGUGUGGUAGAUGUGGUAGAUGUGGUAGGUGUGGUAGGUGUGGUAGGUGUGGUAGAUGUGGUAGGUGUGGUAGGUGUGGUAGAUGUGGUAGGUGUGGUAGAUGUGGUAGGUGUGGUAGGUGUGGUAGAUGUGGUAGGUGUGGUAGGUGUGGUAGAUGUGGUAGGUGUGGUAGAUGUGGUAGGUGUGGUAGAUGUGGUAGAUGUGGUAGAUGUGGUAGGUGUGGUAGGUGUGGUAGAUGUGGUAGGUGUGGUAGAUGUGGUAGGUGUGGUAGAUGUGGUAGAUGUGGUAGGUGUGGUAGAUGUGGUAGAUG